RNAcentral lists this ribosomal RNA (379 nucleotides) under uncultured cyanobacterium. Its description in RNAcentral is "bacterial SSU rRNA". It matches the Rfam family "Bacterial small subunit ribosomal RNA", at positions 376 to 770 of the family's 1533-position model. The record is from RNAcentral. Lineage: Bacteria; Bacillati; Cyanobacteriota.
CGAAAGCCUGACGGAGCAAUACCGCGUGAGGGAGGAAGGCCUUUGGGUUGUAAACCUCUUUUCUCAGGGAAGAAGAUCUGACGGUACCUGAGGAAUAAGCAUCGGCUAACUCCGUGCCAGCAGCCGCGGUAAUACGGAGGAUGCAAGCGUUAUCCGGAAUUAUUGGGCGUAAAGAGUCCGUAGGUGGCAAUUCAAGUCUGUGGUCAAAGACUAGAGCUUAACUCUGGAAAGGCCAUGGAAACUGAAGAGCUAGAGUUCGGGAGGGGUAGAGGGAAUUCCCAGUGUAGCGGUGAAAUGCGUAGAGAUUGGGAAGAACACCAGUGGCGAAGGCGCUCUACUGGACCGAAACUGACACUGAGGGACGAAAGCUAAGGUAGCG